AGUGAACGCUGGCGGUAGGCCUAACACAUGCAAGUCGAACGGCAGCACAGUAAGAGCUUGCUCUUACGGGUGGCGAGUGGCGGACGGGUGAGGAAUACAUCGGAAUCUACUUUUUCGUGGGGGAUAACGUAGGGAAACUUACGCUAAUACCGCAUACGACCUACGGGUGAAAGCAGGGGAUCUUCGGACCUUGCGCGAUUGAAUGAGCCGAUGUCGGUUUAGCUAGUUGGCGGGGUAAAGGCCCACCAAGGCGACGAUCCGUAGCUGGUCUGAGAGGAUGAUCAGCCACACUGGAACUUAGACACGGUCCAGACUCCUACGGGAGGCAGCAGUGGGGAAUAUUGGACAAUGGGCGCAAGCCUGAUCCAGCCAUACCGCGUGGGUGAAGAAGGCCUUCGGGUUGUAAAGCCCUUUUGUUGGGAAAGAAAAGCAGCAGGUUAAUACCCCGCUGUUCUGACGGUACCCAAAGAAUAAGCACCGGCUAACUUCGUG
Molecule: ribosomal RNA, 492 nt
Filed under: uncultured bacterium
Lineage: Bacteria
Description: partial 16S ribosomal RNA
Rfam family: Bacterial small subunit ribosomal RNA
Source: RNAcentral